AACCUGGUUGAUCCUGCCAGUAGUCAUAUGCUUGUCUUAAAGAUUAAGCCAUGCAUGUCUAAGUAUAAAUAGUAUACAGUGAAACUGCGAAUGGCUCAUUAAAACAGUUAUAGUUUAUUCGAUAGUGCACAUUACAUGGAUAACCGUGGUAAUUCUAGAGCUAAUACAUGCGCAAAUACCGGACGCAAGAAUGGUAGCAUUUAUUAGAUUUAACCAUCACAUGGUGAAUCAUAGUAACUUGGCUGACCGCGUGUAAACGUGGUAAAUCGUUCAAGUUUCUGCCCUAUCAGCUUUCGAAGGUAGUGUAUUGGACUACCCUUGCUAUCACGGGUAACGGAGAAUUAGGGUUCGAUUCCGGAGAGGGAGCCUGAGAAACGGCUACCACAUCUAAGGAAGGCAGCAGGCGCGUAAAUUACCCAAUCCCGAUUCGGGGAGGUAGUGACAAGAAAUAACAACCUGGGCGGUUUUCCGUUCCGGGAUUGCAAUGAGAUAAGUCCAAAUCCGUAAACGAUUAACAAUUGGAGGGCAAGUCUGGUGCCAGCAGCCGCGGUAAUUCCAGCUCCAAUAGCGUAUACUUAAGUUGUUGCAGUUAAAAAGCUCGUAGUUGAAAUUCGAGUCUAUUGCUGUCUGGCUUCAGUCAGGCUGCUAAUAGGCUCUCCGUCUACAACCCCUUUCGAGCUCUCACGGGUUUCACUGGGUGAGUAGGCAAUUUACCUUGAAAAAAUUAGAGUGUUCAAAGCAGGCCUUGCUGGAAUACAUUAGCAUGGAAUAAUGGAAUAGGAUUUUUGCCCUUUGUUGGUUUUAGGACAGAAAUAAUGAUUAAUAGGGACAGUGGGUGGUAUUAGUAUUUAAUUGUCAGAGGUGAAAUUCUUGGAUUUAUUAAAGACUAACUUAUGCGAAAGCAUUUACCAAUGAUGUUUUCAUUAAUCAAGAACGAAAGUUAGGGGAUCAAAGACGAUCAGAUACCGUCGUAGUCUUAACUAUAAACUAUACCGACUCGAGAUCGGAAGGGUUAAUAUUUUGGCCCUUUCGGCAUCGUAAGAGAAAUCAAAGUCUUUGGGUUCUGGGGGGAGUAUGGUCGCAAGGCUGAAACUUAAAGGAAUUGACGGAAGGGCACCACCAGGAGUGGAGCCUGCGGCUUAAUUUGACUCAACACGGGGAAACUUACCAGGUCAAAACAUGGAUGGGAUUGACAGAUUGAAAGCUCUUUCUUGAUUCUAUGGGUGGUGGUGCAUGGCCGUUCUUAGUUGGUGGAGUGAUUUGUCUGGUUAAUUCCGAUAACGAACGAGACCUUAACCUGCUAACUAGUUUGCUUCUGAACAAGAGGUAUAACUUCUUAGAGGGACUAUGUGUUUUAAAUACAUGGAAGUUUAAGGCAAUAACAGGUCUGUGAUGCCCCUAGACGUCCUGGGCCGCACGCGCGCUACACUGACAUGUUCAGCGAGCUAUUUUACCUGUCCCGAAAGGGCACGGGAAAUCUUGUUAGGACAUGUCGUGCUGGGGAUAGAUCUUUGCAAUUAUAGAUCUUGAACGAGGAAUUCCUUGUAAGCACAGGUCAUCAGCCUGUGCUGAAUACGUCCCUGCCCUUUGUACACACCGCCCGUCGCUCCUACCGAUUUCGAGUGAUGUGGUGAACUAUCUGGACUGCGGAUGGGCUUGAACCAUUUGCGGGAAGUUUCGUAAACCUUAUCACUUAGAGGAAGGAGAAGUCGUAACAAGGUUUCCGUAGGUGAACCUGCAGAAGGAUCA
RNAcentral lists this ribosomal RNA (1749 nucleotides) under Paramecium caudatum. RNAcentral describes it as "SSU rRNA". It matches the Rfam family "Eukaryotic small subunit ribosomal RNA". The record is from RNAcentral. Lineage: Eukaryota; Ciliophora; Oligohymenophorea; Peniculida; Parameciidae.